Molecule: RNA transcript, 1497 nt
Organism: Rhincodon typus (whale shark)
Lineage: Eukaryota; Metazoa; Chordata; Chondrichthyes; Orectolobiformes; Rhincodontidae
Gene name: mitoregulin-like
Exons: 2
Source: RefSeq, a predicted model, not a curated record
ACGUGGCCCGGAUAGCGCACGCGCACAUCCUCCCCUUCACCACGCUCGGGUGAACAUGGCUGAAGUGUCCGAGAGAGUUUUGCAACUUGCCGUGGUUCUGUCUUUCACUUCGGGGGUCAUUAUCGGCUGGCAGGCAAACAUCCUGAGGAGGAGGUUCCUGGAUUGGAGGAAAAAGCGGCUGCAGUCGAAACUGAUCGAGACGCAGAAGAAACUGGAUUUAGCUUAAGUAGGGGACAGUGAAGGGCGCCUCAAUCCGCUGGGAGUAAGAAGCAGAAUUCGCCUUUUACUAUGUCACACAAACAGGCCAAUAACAUGCAGAAGUAAGGACCUGAGAUGCCAAUAGUGACUGUGAAAAUACUGGUAGAAUCUGUUUUCUGAAGCAAUCAAGUGAAGCAGCAGCUGUAGAAAAGACUCUUCUGUUUUGAACUCUGAUUCAGGAAUUGCUUACACAGAAAGCUGUUUUUGUUUUGAAUGUCUUUGACUAUGCCGAAGAAGCAGAUUUGCUCCUUGCUCCUAUUUAAUGUGCAAAAAAUCUAUUGAUAUAAGGGUAAUUUGUAUCUACGUUUUAAAUGAGAUGUUUCAAUUGCAACUGCUGUAGGGAUAGGAACAAGUAAUGGCAAGCUAUUAUUUCAGUGUGAGUUUCAAAAUAUUUUUCCCCUCUUAUAACAGUUGUGCUUUUCAUCAUUUCAAGGAUGAAUAUUGGAAUGUCUUGAAGGGUAACACUUUUUUUUCUUACACUGAUUUUGAGGAGAUCUUUAGAUUGUCCUGAACUAAAAGCACUCCAAUUCAGCUGAUUUUGAAAGUCUGUUUACUUUUGGGAAAGAUGCUGACUAAUGAUGAACUGUGGAAAAGAACAUUUUUUGUCGGGGGGGGCAGUAAAUAAACAUUUUAAUUUGGUAGUGUUUUAGUAGUGAGGGGUGCAUAAACAUAGAAUUAGCUCUAUAAGCAUAAAGUGGGUAUUAGGGGUUCAGUCAACCACACCAUUUUAAGAGGAAAUUAGAUAGGCAACUGAAAAACAAAUAAAAAUCUAAAAAUUAUACACAGAAAAAGCAUAAAAUGAGAUUGGAGAAGAUGACUCCAUAUGGAGCUAGAAUCAGCAUUGUCAUGAUGGAGUGAAAUGACUACAAUAUUGUCUUGCAUAAGUGGGGCAUAUUGCAGGCACUACUAGUGUAAUUCCAGCCAUACCAAGCAUUUUAGCAUAAAUUUGGAGUGACGAGCUCCAAGUUUCUCCUUAGUGCAAAACAUGCAACGGUUAUUCCUUUUAUAUCUCUUUUUAAGUCAAUUUACACAGGUAUACAUAUUUCAUUGUCAUAAGCAAUGGGUUUACGUGGAGUUUGUGUUCGGAAUUUUCAUUGCAAAGUAUUAACAGGACUGUGAUUUUUACUGUGUGGAAUACUAACCAAUGUGAAGAAAUCGCACCAGUUUGUUAACAAUACAAUGCUGUGUUUUUUUUUCCUGCAAUACCUGUUUUAAUAAAGGUUGAUUAUUUGUACCAGC